RNAcentral lists this ribosomal RNA (729 nucleotides) under Comamonas sp. CCM-033. RNAcentral's name for it is "bacterial SSU rRNA". It matches the Rfam family "Bacterial small subunit ribosomal RNA", at positions 22 to 748 of the family's 1533-position model. Lineage: Bacteria; Pseudomonadati; Pseudomonadota; Betaproteobacteria; Burkholderiales; Comamonadaceae. RNAcentral also lists the same sequence under 1 other name. The record is from RNAcentral.
GCUCAGAUUGAACGCUGGCGGCAUGCUUUACACAUGCAAGUCGAACGGUAACAGGUCUUCGGAUGCUGACGAGUGGCGAACGGGUGAGUAAUACAUCGGAACGUGCCUAGUAGUGGGGGAUAACUACUCGAAAGAGUAGCUAAUACCGCAUGAGAUCUACGGAUGAAAGCAGGGGACCUUCGGGCCUUGUGCUACUAGAGCGGCUGAUGGCAGAUUAGGUAGUUGGUGGGGUAAAGGCUUACCAAGCCUGCGAUCUGUAGCUGGUCUGAGAGGACGACCAGCCACACUGGGACUGAGACACGGCCCAGACUCCUACGGGAGGCAGCAGUGGGGAAUUUUGGACAAUGGGCGAAAGCCUGAUCCAGCAAUGCCGCGUGCAGGAUGAAGGCCCUCGGGUUGUAAACUGCUUUUGUACGGAACGAAAAGCCUGGGGCUAAUAUCCCCGGGUCAUGACGGUACCGUAAGAAUAAGCACCGGCUAACUACGUGCCAGCAGCCGCGGUAAUACGUAGGGUGCAAGCGUUAAUCGGAAUUACUGGGCGUAAAGCGUGCGCAGGCGGUUUUGUAAGACAGUGGUGAAAUCCCCGGGCUCAACCUGGGAACUGCCAUUGUGACUGCAAGGCUAGAGUGCGGCAGAGGGGGAUGGAAUUCCGCGUGUAGCAGUGAAAUGCGUAGAUAUGCGGAGGAACACCGAUGGCGAAGGCAAUCCCCUGGGCCUGCACUGACGCUC